This 436-nucleotide long non-coding RNA is filed under the name Brassica napus (rape). Its description in RNAcentral is "long non-coding RNA (BNAP_LNC019395)". The record is from RNAcentral. Lineage: Eukaryota; Viridiplantae; Streptophyta; Magnoliopsida; Brassicales; Brassicaceae.
GAGGACAUAGGAGAGGUCGAAAAUUGAGAGGAAGGGGACGGCGGAUCGUUGAAGAAGAAGACGAUUCAGACAUAACAGGAAACACAGAGUUUGGUUCUCAAUUCUGAACGUUAACGGGCCGGUGAAACGCGAAGCCCAAAUGACAGAAGUGAGCAUCUGAUGUGGCGGAAAGCUCUUCUCCUAUUGGUUGAUUUUUACUGUCGACGUGGACACUCUAACUAUUCAGGGUAUUCCCAUUUUAGUAUUGUAUUGAUAAUGUUGAAGUAUCUGACUUUUUAGGCUGUCCACGUCACUCUGGAGAGGAGAGAAAAUCGUGACACGUCAGCGUUUCUUUUAAGCUCUUCUAUUUCGUUGACGAGUUUAAAAUGGUUGGAACUUUAUGGUCAACCCAUUAAGGGCCCACCUCUGCACUCCGAGUCUUCGUCUUCUCAAUAGC